CGUAUGCUCGUCUCCGAGACUAAGCCAUGCAAGUCCAAGUACACGUCCUUGAACGACGGAAACUGCGAACGGCUCAUUAAAUCAGUUGCGAUCUACUCGGCGUUCCGCGCCGCCGGAUAACCGUAGUAAUUCUAGGGCUAAUACGUGCGAAGCGCCCGAAGCCGCGAGGCGACGGCGUUCUCGCCGGAUGUAGGAACCGACCCGGGGGACCGCCCGGGGGCAACCCCGGCGCCCCCCGAGACGGGGCGAACCACGGUGAAAUGACGGAUCGUCGGCCCCGCGCCGGCGACUCGCCGAAUGAGUUUCUGACCUAUCAACUCGAGACGGCGGGGUAGAGGCCCGCCGCGGUAACGACGGGUAACGGGGAAUCAGGGUUCGAUUCCGGAGAGGGAGCCCGAGAAACGGCUACCACUUCCAAGGAAGGCAGCAGGCGCGCAACUUACCCUAAUCUC
RNAcentral lists this ribosomal RNA (452 nucleotides) under uncultured eukaryote. Its description in RNAcentral is "bacterial SSU rRNA". It matches the Rfam family "Eukaryotic small subunit ribosomal RNA", at positions 25 to 452 of the family's 1831-position model. The record is from RNAcentral.